Molecule: ribosomal RNA, 449 nt
Filed under: uncultured bacterium
Lineage: Bacteria
Description: partial 16S ribosomal RNA
Rfam family: Bacterial small subunit ribosomal RNA
Source: RNAcentral
AACGAACGCUGGCGGCAGGCCUAACACAUGCAAGUCGAGCGCUGUAGCAAUACAGAGCGGCGCACGGGAUAAUAACGUGUGGGAACCUACCUUAUGGUUCGGAAUAACAUCGGGAAACUGGUGCUAAUACCGGAUAAGCCCUUCGGGGGAAAGAUUUAUUGCCAUUAGAUGGGCCCGCGUUAGAUUAGCUAGUUGGUGAGGUAACGGCUCACCAAGGCGACGAUCUAUAGCUGGUCUGAGAGGAUGAUCAGCAUCACUGGGACUGAGACACGGCCCAGACUCCUACGGGAGGCAGCAGUGGGGAAUAUUGGACAAUGGGGGAAACCCUGAUCCAGCCAUGCCGCGUGAAUGAUGAAGGCCUUCGGGUUGUAAAGUUCUUUUGACGGGGACGACGAUGACGGUACCCGUAGAAUAAGCUCCGGCUAACUUCGUGCCAGCCGCCGCAGUAA